This 106-nucleotide small nucleolar RNA is filed under the name Olea europaea subsp. europaea. RNAcentral's name for it is "Small nucleolar RNA Z107/R87". It matches the Rfam family "Small nucleolar RNA Z107/R87". From Rfam's summary of the family: Z107 and R87 are members of the C/D class of snoRNA which contain the C (UGAUGA) and D (CUGA) box motifs. Most of the members of the box C/D family function in directing site-specific 2'-O-methylation of substrate RNA The record is from Rfam by way of RNAcentral. Lineage: Eukaryota; Viridiplantae; Streptophyta; Magnoliopsida; Lamiales; Oleaceae.
AAUCGCAGUGACGACUUCCAAAUUUCAAGCUCAACAGACCGGAUUGCAGGUCUCUCUUCUUGAGAUGAUUGCUUGCAUGUCGAUUAUCCCGCUGAACCGAGCGUUC